Molecule: unclassified non-coding RNA, 22 nt
Filed under: Mus musculus (house mouse)
Lineage: Eukaryota; Metazoa; Chordata; Mammalia; Rodentia; Muridae
Description: oocyte_clustered_small_RNA1279
Source: RNAcentral
UGGCAGGGUCCCGGAACCAAGA